GAUGAACGCUAGCGGCAGGCUUAACACAUGCAAGUCGAGGGGUAACAGGGAGUGCUUGCACUCCGCUGACGACCGGCGCACGGGUGCGUAACGCGUAUGCAACCUACCUUUUACAGGGGGAUAGUCAAGAGAAAUUUUGAAUAACACCCCAUACGAUCUUAGUCACACCUGUGAUUUAGAGGAAAACUUCGGUGGUAAAAGAUGGGCAUGCGUCCUAUUAGUUAGAUGGUGAGGUAACGGCUCCCCAUGACUACGAUAGGUAGGGGUCCUGAGAGGGAGAUCCCCCACACUGGUACUGAGACACGGACCAG
Molecule: ribosomal RNA, 311 nt
Filed under: uncultured bacterium
Lineage: Bacteria
Description: bacterial SSU rRNA
Rfam family: Bacterial small subunit ribosomal RNA
Source: RNAcentral